CAGCCGCCGCGGUAAUGCGUAGGUGGCAAGCGUUGUCCGGAAUUAUUGGGCGUAAAGGGCUCGCAGGCGGUUUCUUAAGUCUGAUGUGAAAGCCCCCGGCUCAACCGGGGAGGGUCAUUGGAAACUGGGAAACUUGAGUGCAGAAGAGGAGAGUGGAAUUCCACGUGUAGCGGUGAAAUGCGUAGAGAUGUGGAGGAACACCAGUGGCGAAGGCGACUCUCUGGUCUGUAACUGACGCUGAGGAGCGAAAGCGUGGGGAGCGAACAGGAUUAGAUACCCCAGUAGUCCCUGUCUCUUAUAA
RNAcentral lists this ribosomal RNA (301 nucleotides) under uncultured bacterium. Its description in RNAcentral is "partial 16S ribosomal RNA". It matches the Rfam family "Bacterial small subunit ribosomal RNA", at positions 509 to 809 of the family's 1533-position model. The record is from RNAcentral.